GUAGGGAAUCUUCCACAAUGGACGCAAGUCUGAUGGAGCAACGCCGCGUGAGUGAAUGAAGGUUUUCGGAAUCGUAAAGCUCUGUUGUUGAUGAAGAAGGAUAGAGGCAGUAACUGGUCUUUAUUUGACGGUAAUCAACCAGAAAGUCACGGCUAACUACGUGCCAGCAGCCGCGGUAAUACGUAGGUGGCAAGCGUUGCCCGGAUUUAUUGGGCGUAAAGCGAGCGCAGGCGGAAUGAUAAGUCUGAUGUGAAAGCCCACGGCUCAACCGUGGAACUGCAUCGGAAACUGUCAUUCUUGAGUGCAGAAGAGGAGAGUGGAACUCCAUGUGUAGCGGUGGAAUGCGUAGAUAUAUGGAAGAACACCAGUGGCGGAGGCGGCUCUCUGGUCUGCAACUGACGCUGAGGCUCGAAAGCAUGGGUAGCGAACAGGAUUAGAUACCCUGGUAGUCCAUGCCGUAAACGAUGAGCGCUAGGUGUUGGGGACUUUCCGGUUCUCAGUGCCGCAGCAAACGCAUUAAGCGCUCCGCCUGGGGAGUACGACCGCAAGGUUGAAAC
Molecule: ribosomal RNA, 557 nt
Filed under: uncultured bacterium
Lineage: Bacteria
Description: partial 16S ribosomal RNA
Rfam family: Bacterial small subunit ribosomal RNA
Source: RNAcentral